This 484-nucleotide ribosomal RNA is filed under the name uncultured bacterium. RNAcentral describes it as "partial 16S ribosomal RNA". It matches the Rfam family "Bacterial small subunit ribosomal RNA", at positions 29 to 507 of the family's 1533-position model. The record is from RNAcentral.
AUUGAACGCUGGCGGCAUGCUUUACACAUGCAAGUCGAACGGCAGCGCGGGCUUCGGCCUGGCGGCGCGUGGCGAACGGGUGAGUAAUGCAUCGGAACGUGCCCAGUAGUGGGGGAUAACACCGCGAAAGCAGGAUUAAUACUGCAUAAGACCAGAGGGUGCAAGCGGGGGACCGAAAGGACUCGUGCUAUUGGAGCGGCCGAGGUCGGACUAGCUAGUUGGUGGGGUAAGGGCUUACCAAGGCGACGAUCCGUAGCUGGUCUGAGAGGGCGACUAGCCGCACGGGGACUGAGACACGGCCCAGACUCCUACGAGAGGCAGCAGUGUGGAAUUUUAGACAGUGGGGGCAACCCUGAUCCAGCCAUGCCGCGUGCGGGAAGGAGGCCUUCGGGGUGUAAACCGCUUUUGUUCGGGAAGAAAUCCUCUGGGCUAAUACCCCGGGGGGAUGACGGUACCGGAAGAAUAAGCACCGGCUAACUACGUG